RNAcentral lists this ribosomal RNA (628 nucleotides) under uncultured Russulaceae. RNAcentral's name for it is "LSU rRNA". It matches the Rfam family "Eukaryotic large subunit ribosomal RNA", at positions 47 to 649 of the family's 3401-position model. The record is from RNAcentral. Lineage: Eukaryota; Fungi; Basidiomycota; Agaricomycetes; Russulales; Russulaceae.
UAAGCGGAGGAAANGAAACUAACAAGGAUUCCCCUAGUAACUGCGAGUGAAGCGGGAAAAGCUCAAAUUUAAAAUCUGGUGGUCUUUGGCCAUCCGAGUUGUAAUUUAGAGAAGCGACUUCCGCGCUGGACCGUGCACAAGUCUCCUGGAAUGGAGCGUCAUAGAGGGUGAGAAUCCCGUCUUUGGCACGGACACGCCAGGGCUUUUGUGAUGCGCUCUCGAAGAGUCGAGUUGUUUGGGAAUGCAGCUCAAAAUGGGUGGUGAACUCCAUCUAAAGCUAAAUAUUGGCGAGAGACCGAUAGCGAACAAGUACCGUGAGGGAAAGAUGAAAAGCACUUUGGAAAGAGAGUGAAACAGUACGUGAAAUUGUUGAAAGGGAAACGCUUGAAGUCAGUCGCGUCGACCGAGACUCAGCCUUGCCUUGGCUUGGUGUACUUCUCGGCCGACGGGUCAGCAUCAAUUUUGCCCCUUGGAUAAUGGCGAGAGAAAUGUGACACCUUUACGGUGUGUUAUAGUCUCUUGUCGCAUGCAAGGGUCGGGAUUGAGGAACUCAGCACGCGCCUUUGGGUGUCGGGGCUUUUGCCCACGAUACGUGCUUAGGAUGUUGGCGUAAUGGCUUUAAACGACC